This 459-nucleotide ribosomal RNA is filed under the name uncultured bacterium. Its description in RNAcentral is "partial 16S ribosomal RNA". It matches the Rfam family "Bacterial small subunit ribosomal RNA", at positions 338 to 795 of the family's 1533-position model. The record is from RNAcentral.
CCUACGGGAGGCAGCAGUGAGGAAUAUUGGUCAAUGGGCGCGAGCCUGAACCAGCCAAGUCGCGUGAGGGAAGACGGUCCUAUGGAUUGUAAACCUCUUUUGUCGGGGAGCAAAAGGCGCCACGCGUGGCGGUCCGAGAGUUACCCGAGAAAAAGAAACGGCUAACUCCGUGCCAGCAGCCGCGGUAAUACGGAGGAUGCGAGCGUUAACCGGAUUUAUUGGGGUUAAAGGGGGCGCAGGCGGAAUGUAAAGUCAGCGGUAAAAUUGAGAGGCUCAACCUCUUCGAGCCGUUGAAACUGGUUUUCUUGAGUGAGCGAGAAGUAUGCGGAAUGCGUGGUGUAGCGGUGAAAUGCAUAGAUAUCACGCAGAACUCCGAUUGCGAAGGCAGCAUACCGGCGCUCAACUGACGCUCAUGCACGAAAGUGUGGGUAUCGAACAGGAUUAGAUACCCCAGUAGUC